Long non-coding RNA from Heterocephalus glaber (naked mole-rat), 645 nucleotides. Lineage: Eukaryota; Metazoa; Chordata; Mammalia; Rodentia; Bathyergidae. The record is from Ensembl.
CCCGCCCCGCCCCCGUCCGCGGAGGCCCACACUAGGCCACGCCCCGUCGGCAACGCCCCUCUCCGAUGCUUGGGUCCUGAGUGCCAGCGCUGUUUCCCAGCGCUGGUACCUAUGAAAAGCCCCAGAAUUACUGUCGGCCAGGAUGUGGAGAAACUGGAAUUCUUGUGCACUGUUGGGAAUGUAAAAGUGGCGCCGCUGCUGUUAAGAGUUUGUUUCCCUACCAAAGCUGAAUACAGAAUUACUGUAUGAUCCAGCAGUAUAGCUUCUGAGUAUAUAUCCACAAGAACUGAAAGCAAGCCUCCAGGUUCAAGAAGUACAGUAAGUCUCCAACUUACCAUUCUGAGAGAAUAUUCCUAAGCCAGAUUCGUUGGCAAGUCUGGCAAGGAGUCAUUUAGAAAGGCACUGGCAGGACCAGUUUGAAAGAACUGAAAUCCAGAAGGGGUGGCAUUCACACAAAGGUUGUGCACCAUCUCCAGGUGCUUAUGAUGUUAGCACAUCAGAGGUAUCUAAAGGACCAGCAUCGUUCCAGAAAUCACAAAGAUUUAAAAAACAAAAGAAUCUCAGCAAAAUCUUAAUGUUGACGAAGAUACCACCUUGCCUGCUUCAGCAAAGAAAGCUAAGCCUUGGAGGGAAUCUCAGAAGGGG